ACAGUACCGUAUAGUGUUGUUUUCUCGGGUAGACGACGCUGCGCGUGCUAAUACAUGCAAGUCGAGCGAGCUGAAUCAAAGAUCCUUCGGGGUGAUUUGUUGGACGCUAGCGGCGGAUGGGUGAGUAACACGUGGGCAAUCUGCCCUAAAGACUGGGAUACCACUUGGAAACAGGUGCUAAUACCGGAUAACAACAUGAAUCGCAUGAUUCAAGUUGAAAGGCGGCGUAAGCUGUCACUUUAGGAUGAGCCCGCGGCGCAUUAGCUAGUUGGUGGGGUAAAGGCCUACCAAGGCAAUGAUGCGUAGCCGAGUUGAGAGACUGAUCGGCCACAUUGGGACUGAGACACGGCCCAAACUCCUACGGGAGGCAGCAGUAGGGAAUCUUCCACAAUGGACGCAAGUCUGAUGGAGCAACGCCGCGUGAGUGAAGAAGGUUUUCGGAUCGUAAAGCUCUGUUGUUGGUGAAGAAGGAUAGAGGCAGUAACUGGUCUUUAUUUGACGGUAAUCAACCAGAAAGUCACGGCUAACUACGUGCCAGCAGCCGCGGUAAUACGUAGGUGGCAAGCGUUGUCCGGAUUUAUUGGGCGUAAAGCGAGCGCAGGCGGAAUGAUAAGUCUGAUGUGAAAGCCCACGGCUCAACCGUGGAACUGCAUCGGAAACUGUCAUUCUUGAGUGCAGAAGAGGAGAGUGGAAUUCCAUGUGUAGCGGUGGAAUGCGUAGAUAUAUGGAAGAACACCAGUGGCGAAGGCGGCUCUCUGGUCUGCAACUGACGCUGAGGCUCGAAAGCAUGGGUAGCGAACAGGAUUAGAUACCCUGGUAGUCCAUGCCGUAAACGAUGAGCGCUAGGUGUUGGGGACUUCCGGUCCUCAGUGCCGCAGCAAACGCAUAAGCGCUCCGCCUGUGAGUACGACGCAUGUCUGAUUAC
This 925-nucleotide ribosomal RNA is filed under the name Lactobacillus delbrueckii subsp. bulgaricus. RNAcentral's name for it is "bacterial SSU rRNA". It matches the Rfam family "Bacterial small subunit ribosomal RNA", at positions 1 to 902 of the family's 1533-position model. The record is from RNAcentral. Lineage: Bacteria; Bacillati; Bacillota; Bacilli; Lactobacillales; Lactobacillaceae.